RNAcentral lists this ribosomal RNA (253 nucleotides) under uncultured bacterium. Its description in RNAcentral is "partial 16S ribosomal RNA". It matches the Rfam family "Bacterial small subunit ribosomal RNA", at positions 524 to 776 of the family's 1533-position model. The record is from RNAcentral.
UACGGAGGGGGCAAGCGUUGCUCGGAAUCACUGGGCGUAAAGGGCGCGUAGGCGGCCUUCUAAGUCAGACGUGAAAUCCCUCGGCUCAACCGAGGAACUGCGUCUGAUACUGGAAGGCUUGAAUCCGGGAGAGGGAUGUGGAAUUCCAGGUGUAGCGGUGAAAUGCGUAGAUAUCUGGAGGAAUACCGGUGGCGAAGGCGGCAUCCUGGACCGGCAUUGACGCUGAGGAGCGAAAGCCAGGGGAGCAAACGGG